RNAcentral lists this ribosomal RNA (590 nucleotides) under uncultured bacterium. RNAcentral's name for it is "partial 16S ribosomal RNA". It matches the Rfam family "Bacterial small subunit ribosomal RNA", at positions 355 to 1376 of the family's 1533-position model. The record is from RNAcentral.
UGGGGAAUAUUGCACAAUGGGCGCAAGCCUGAUGCAGCCAUGCCGCGUGUGUGAAGAAGGCCUUCGGGUUGUAAAGCACUUUCAGCGAGGAGGAAGGUGGUGAACUUAAUACGUUCAUCAAUUGACGUUACUCGCAGAAGAAGCACCGGCUAACUCCGUGCCAGCAGCCGCGGUAAUACGGAGGGUGCAAGCGUUAAUCGGAAUUACUGGGCGUAAAGCGCACGCAGGCGGUUUGUUAAGUCAGAUGUGAAAUCCCCGGGCUCAACCUGGGAACUGCAUUUGAAACUGGCAAGCUAGAGUCUCGUAGAGGGGGGUAGAAUUCCAGGUGUAGCGGUGAAACGCGUAGAGAUCUGGAGGAAUACCGGUGGCGAAGGCGGCCCCCUGGACGAAGACUGACGCUCAGGUGCGAAAGCGUGGGGAGCAAACAGGAUUAGAUACCCCUGGUAGUCCACGCUGUAAAACGAUGUCGAUUUUGGAGGUUGUGCCCUUGAGGCGUGGCUUCCGGAGCUAACGCGUUAAAUCGACCGCCUGGGGAGUACGGCCGCAAGGUUAAAACUUAAAUGAAUUGACGGGGUCAUAGCUGUUUCCUG